UGGACAGGCGAUGAGCCCCUGCCCUACCAACCCACAUUCUCAGAUGACUGGCAACUUCCAGAGCCCUCCAGCCAAGCACCCUUAGGAUACCAGGACCCUGUUUCCCUUCGGUAUGCUCUGAGCUUAAUAGGGACUGCGUGGUCCUGGGGAGGGAGGGACAGGGCUGUUCCUUUGGAUCUCUGGCUCUCUACAUCUUAAGAGAGCCAAGAGGGUCUCUUUUAGCCAGAAAAACAUGUACAAGGACAUCCCUCUCCUACCUUGGGUGAAAAACAGUGUUCUACCCUCCUAGGCUCCCAUUGCUUCUUCUCAUGAUACUACCCACACAUGCUUCUGAUUUCCCAUACUCAAGUAUAAAGUGCUUAGGGCAGAACUCAGAUGUAGAAAAUUCCACUCCCGGAAAUGUCUUCAGAAAUCAAUGACAUUUCAGACCCCUCCUGCCUGCAGAAAGCCCCACCUAACACUGACCUGCCAGCAAACUCUAAAGAAACCCAAAAGUCACCAUCAGACUGCAGGCCGGAGAUACCUGAGGGGAAUCUCAGGGCUGGGACAUAGGCUUAAUUUCUGAGGCCCCAUUCUCCAGCCAUCCUGACUCUGUUUCUUAGGCGGGGAAGUCAUAGGUUAGGGAGCACCUCACACUUUCCUCAGGAGAAGACACACAACCAUGACCCUCAGCCUGGGGACCCCAACUCCAGGCCCUCCAGCCCCAAACCUGCCCAGCCAGCCCUGAAAAUGCAAGUCUUGUACGAGUUUGAAGCUAGGAACCCACGGGAACUGACUGUGGUCCAGGGAGAGAAGCUGGAGGUUCUGGACCACAGCAAGCGGUGGUGGCUGGUGAAGAAUGAGGCGGGACGGAGCGGCUACAUUCCAAGCAACAUCCUGGAGCCCCUACAGCCGGGGACCCCUGGGACCCAGGGCCAGUCACCCUCUCGGGUUCCAAUGCUUCGACUUAGCUCGAGGCCUGAAGAGGUCACAGACUGGCUGCAGGCAGAGAACUUCUCCACUGCCACGGUGAGGACACUUGGGUCCCUGACGGGGAGCCAGCUACUUCGCAUAAGACCUGGGGAGCUACAGAUGCUAUGUCCACAGGAGGCCCCACGAAUCCUGUCCCGGCUGGAGGCUGUCAGAAGGAUGCUGGGGAUAAGCCCUUAGGCACCAGCUUAGACACCUCCAAGAACCAGGCCCCGCUGAUGCAAGAUGGCAGAUCUGAUACCCAUUAGAGCCCCGAGAAUUCCUCUUCUGGAUCCCAGUUUGCAGCAAACCCCACACCCCAGCUCACACAGCAAAAACAAUGGACAGGCCCAGAGGCUGAAGCAAACAGUGUCCCUUCUGGCUGUGUUGGAGCCUCCCCAGUAACCACCUAUUUAUUUUACCUCUUUCCCAAACCUGGAGCAUUUAUGCCUAGGCUUGUCAAGAAUCUGUUCAGUCCCUCUCCUUCUCAAUAAAAGCAUCUUCAAGCUU
This 1458-nucleotide long non-coding RNA is filed under the name Homo sapiens (human). RNAcentral describes it as "long non-coding RNA NONHSAT152066.1". The record is from RNAcentral. Lineage: Eukaryota; Metazoa; Chordata; Mammalia; Primates; Hominidae.